Molecule: long non-coding RNA, 1013 nt
Organism: Hyla sarda
Lineage: Eukaryota; Metazoa; Chordata; Amphibia; Anura; Hylidae
Exons: 2
Source: RefSeq, a predicted model, not a curated record
UUCUAUCCUGGUAACAUGGCCUCACAUCCCGCACAGCGCAGCUUCUAUCCAGGUAACAUGGCCUCACAUCCCGCACAGCGCAGCUUCUAUCCAGGUAUUGCGGCCUCACAUCCCGCACAGCGCAGCUUCUAUCCAGGUAACAUGGCCUCACAUCCCGCACAGCGCAGCUUCUAUCCAGGUAUCGCGGCCUCACAUCCCGCACAGCGCAGCUUCUAUCCAGGUAACAUGGCCUCACAUCCCGCACAGUGCAGCUUCUUUCCAGGUAUUGCGGCAUCACAUCCCGCACAGCGCAGCUUCUAUCCAGGUAACAUGGCCUCACAUCCCGCACAGCGCAGCUUCUAUCCAGGUAUUGCGGCAUCACAUCCCGCACAGCGCAGCUUCUAUCCAGGUAACAUGGCCUCACAUCCCGCACAGCGCAGCUUCUAUCCAGGUAACAUGGCCUCACAUCCCGCACAGCGCAGCUUCUAUCCAGGUAACAUGGCCUCACAUCCCGCACAGCGCAGCUUCUAUCCAGGUAUCGCGGCCUCACAUCCCGCACAGUGCAACUUCUAUCCAGGUAACAUGGCAUCACAUCCCGCACAGCGCAGCUUCUAUCCUGGUAUCAUGGUGUCACGUCCCACCCAGCACAGCUGCUAUACCAGUAACACUGUCACGUCCCGUCCACCAAAGCUUCUAUCCAGGGAUCACGGAGUCACAUCAUGGCCAGCACAGCUUCUAUCCAGGUAACAUGGCGUCCCGGCCAGUGCAGCUUUUAUCCAGGUAAAACAGCGUCACAUGGCCAGCGCAGCUUCUAUCCAGGUAAAAUGGCUUCUCGUUCCGCCCAGCGCAGCUUCUGUCCAGGUUACAGUGUCACGUCCCUAUUGGCACAGCUGCUAUCCCGGUAACGCACCGUCGCGUCCCGCCAAGCGCACUUUAUAUAUUGCUAUAUACAUUCAUUCUCCCUAUUCCCACAACAUUUCCACCUGAGGUCCACACAACUUUCCUACAUUUCUUAAUAUUUUUUUUUAGAAAAA